RNAcentral lists this ribosomal RNA (1062 nucleotides) under Escherichia coli. RNAcentral describes it as "partial 16S ribosomal RNA". It matches the Rfam family "Bacterial small subunit ribosomal RNA", at positions 45 to 1074 of the family's 1533-position model. Lineage: Bacteria; Pseudomonadati; Pseudomonadota; Gammaproteobacteria; Enterobacterales; Enterobacteriaceae. The record is from RNAcentral.
CGCCCUWAMMAUGCAAGUCGACGGUAACAGGAAGMAGCUUGCUKCUUUGCUGACGAGUGGCGGACGGSYGAGUAAUGUCUGGGAAACUGCCUGAUGGAGGGGGAUAACUACUGGAAACGGUAGCUAAUACCGCAUAACGUCGCAAGACCAAAGAGGGGGACCUUCGGGCCUCUUGCCAUCGGAUGUGCCCAGAUGGGAUUAGCUWGUWGGUGGGGUAACGGCUCACCUAGGCGACGAUCCCUAGCUGGUCUGAGAGGAUGACCAGCCACACUGGAACUGAGACACGGUCCAGACUCCUACGGGAGGCAGCAGUGGGGAAUAUUGCACAAUGGGCGCAAGCCUGAUGCAGCCAUGCCGCGUGUAUGAAGAAGGCCUUCGGGUUGUAAAGUACUUUCAGCGGGGAGGAAGGGAGUAAAGUUAAUACCUUUGCUCAUUGACGUUACCCGCAGAAGAAGCACCGGCUAACUCCGUGCCAGCAGCCGCGGUAAUACGGAGGGUGCAAGCGUUAAUCGGAAUUACUGGGCGUAAAGCGCACGCAGGCGGUUUGUUAAGUCAGAUGUGAAAUCCCCGGGCUCAACCUGGGAACUGCAUCUGAUACUGGCAAGCUUGAGUCUCGUAGAGGGGGGUAGAAUUCCAGGUGUAGCGGUGAAAUGCGUAGAGAUCUGGAGGAAUACCGGUGGCGAAGGCGGCCCCCUGGACRAAGACUGACGCUCAGGUGCGAAAGCGUGGGGAGCAAACMGGAUUAGAUACCCUGGUAGUCCACGCCCGUAAACGAUGUCSACUUGGAGGUUGUGCCCUUGAGGCGUGGCUUCCSGGAGCUAACGCGUUAAGUCGACCGCCCUGGGGAGUACGGCCGCAAGGUUAAAACUCAAAUGAUUUGACGGGGGGCCCGCACAAGCGGGUGCAGCCAUGUGGUUUAAUUCCGAUGCACSSCGAAGAACCUUACCCUGGUCUUGACMUYCMACAGAACUUUCCAGAGAUGAWUUGGUGCCUUCGGGAACCUGUGAGACACGYGCUGCAUGGCCUGUCGYCMGCUCCGUSGYUYGCYGAAMAUUUCUUGGC